GCUACCACGCAAGUGGAUGCCAAUCCCCAAAACCCUACUCUCAGUUCGGAUUGAAGUCUGCAACCCGACUUCAUGAAGCUGGAUUCGCUAGUAAUCGCGCAUCAGCCACGGCGCGGUGAAUACGUUCCCGGGCCUUGUACACACCGCCCGUCAAGCCAUGGGAGCCGGGGGUACCUGAAGUGCGUAACCGCAAGGAGCGCCCUAGGGUAAAACUGGUGACUGGGGCUAAGUCGUAACAAGGUAAC
Molecule: ribosomal RNA, 245 nt
Filed under: uncultured bacterium
Lineage: Bacteria
Description: partial 16S ribosomal RNA
Rfam family: Bacterial small subunit ribosomal RNA
Source: RNAcentral